This 1167-nucleotide long non-coding RNA is filed under the name Ursus americanus (American black bear). Its description in RNAcentral is "lncRNA (ENSUAMG00000019158.1)". The record is from RNAcentral. Lineage: Eukaryota; Metazoa; Chordata; Mammalia; Carnivora; Ursidae.
CAGCUCAGCCCCUGGAGUGGCCACAGCACAUGGCCUGGGGGUAGUGGCUCGGGCCCAGGGGCGGCCCCCGGAGCAAGGCGGGGGCUCCCUUCAGAAAGCCUGCCGGACACUGGCCCUGCACCGGGCGCUGCUGCUCUGGAGGACACGGCUCUCCCAGCACCAGAGGGCUGACUCCUUCCUCCGGGGCACGCGGCAGCAGCAGAUUCGGGGUAUCCUGAGGGCGUGGCACUUGAAGGCAUGCGGUCCGAGCACCCCGUCAGACAGUGCCAGGACCACCUUGGCCCCGGAGCCGCUGCUGGGCUGCAGCCCGCCCCGAAGCUCACUAGAGAAGGCUUCCAGGGCCCCCGCCUUCUUGGAUACCCUCCGGCUGAGCUUUCUGUGGGCAUCUGGGCAGAGGCUGAAGGCACGGUGCCUUCUGCUCUGGCAGGUGCGGGCCCAGCGGUCCCAGGGUGCAGCAAGGUGGCACCGAUGCACUCUUCAGAGGCGGUAGGGACCCCUCCCCAUGCUGGGUGAGCCAUGACGCCCACCGCUCCGUGGACAUCCGGUUUCCCAGCCCCCUUCCCAUUAUUCCUUGACCUUCACAGCAGCAUCCCGUUGGGGUCUGCAGCCCAGAGGGCUCCCAUCUCACGCUCCAACCCGUUGGUACCCAGACUCAGGUUCUCUGGGCUUCUCCUGCCCUCCUAGCCUGCCCUGCUGACAGGGCGGGGGCUUGAGGCAGUCUACAGGAUAAUCGUUUCUCCCAGAGACUUCGCAGCUGUGGCUCAUUCAUUUAUUCAUCGGCAGCACAAUACUUAAGCGUCGGUCUGCCUGGGUUCUAAUCCCAGCCUUGCCCCUCACUAGCGAUGUGAUCUUGGGCAAGUUGCUUAACCUCUCUGUGUCUCCAUCUCUCCAUUUGUAUGGGGAUAAUAACAGUAGUCACUCCAUUGGGCAUCAGCAAGGUAGGGGCACAUAAUCCCCUUGCUUAGUACCUGGCACAUAAUAAGCACUGAGUUCAUAGCAAUGUUUAUCACUAGUGCCUGAGCUCAGGCCUUGGCACUGGGGUCUGAGAUCCCAUCUCAUCCCUAACCUGUCACUGUGAGCAUUCCAGCCCCCAGCAAGCCACGCUCCCCCUGCUGGAAACAGGGAGAAGAGCCCCCUCAGGCUGCUGAGGGCGGGGAUGGCUGGGAG